CCUUGUGCCUGAAAGGGCGACGGUGGAUAGCCGGAGCGAGAAGUCAGCAGAGGCCGUAGUAGCUGCCGGUACGGGGCGAAGGGC
This 84-nucleotide non-coding RNA is filed under the name Azotobacter beijerinckii. Lineage: Bacteria; Pseudomonadati; Pseudomonadota; Gammaproteobacteria; Pseudomonadales; Pseudomonadaceae. The record is from RNAcentral.